GAUGAACGCUGGCGGCGUGCCUGAGAUAUGCAAGUCGAGCGGGAAUUAUUGAAGUCGCAAGACGGAUAUAGUUCCAGCGGCGGACGGCUGAGUAACACGUAAGAAUCUUCCCCAGAGUCUCACACAGCUCACCGAAAGGUGGGGUAAUUUGAGAUGGUCUGUACAGAUUUAUCUGUAUUGUAAAGCCGCAAGGCGCUUUGGGAUGAGCUUGCGUCCUAUCAGGUAGUUGGUGAGGUAAAAGCUCACCAAGCCUACGACGGGUAGCUGGCCUCAUGAGGGUGGUCAGCCAGAGGGGGACUGAGACACGGCCCCCACUCCUACGGGAGGCAGCAAUCAGGAAUAGUCGGCAAUGGACGAAAGUCUGACCGCGCGACGCCGCGUGUAGGAUGAAGCUUCACAAGAGUGUAAACUACUGUGGUAGGGGAAAAGAAAGGAUUGUACCCUACUAGAAAGCAGCCGCUAACUGCGUGCCAGAAGCGUCGGUAAUACGUGGGCUGCGAGCGUUAUCCGGUGUCAUUGGGCGUAAAGAGUCGUGUAGGUGGGUAUAUAAGUCACUUUUUAAAUCUCUGGGCUCAACCCAGAAACUUGAAGUGAUACUGUAUGUCUUGAGGAUUUUUUAGGGAGAACGGAAUUGUGGGAGGAGUAGUGAAAUGCGUUGAUACCCACGAGAACUCCAGUGGCGAAGGCGGUUCUCUGGAAAGAUCCUGACACUGAGACACGAAAGUUAGGGGAGCGAAGCAGAUUAGAGACCUGCGUAGUCCUAACUGUAAACGAAUGUAUGCUGGCUGCAUGAGGUUGGACUUUGGUCAUUAGUCGCUUUUAUUCAUAAGAAAGAUGGGUAUGAGCGGCUGAAGGCUAACGGCUAAAGUCCAAUCUCGUGUGGCGAAGGUAACCCGUUAAGCAUACCGCCUGGGGAGUACGGCCGCAAGGUUGAAACUCAAAGGAAUUGGCGGGGAGGCACACAACCAGAGGAACAUGUGGUUUAAUUCGACACAAAACGAAGAACCUUACCAAGGCUUGACAUGCUAGCGUUCUAUUUCCUGGAAACAGGAGAAAUCCGCAAGGAGGCUAGCACCGGUGAUGCAUGGCUGUCGUCAGUUCGUUCCGUGAGGAGUGCCCUUAAGUGGGACAACGAACGCAACCCCUGUCGUCUGUUAUAAGUGUCAGACGAUACUGCCCUACAGUUUUGUGGGGAGGAAGGCGGGGCAGACGUCAAGUCAGCACGUCCCUUAUGUCUUGGGCUACACACAUGUUACAAUGAACCAUAACAAUGAGCAUUGCGAGCCAGCGAUGGCAAGCUAAUCUCACAAAUUGGUCCUCAGUGGGGAUUGGAGUCUGCAACUCGACUCCAUGAACUUGGAUUUGGUAGUAAUCGCGGGUCAGCUAUACCGCGGUGAAUACGUUCUUGCCUCUUGCACACACCGCCCGUCAAACCAACAAAGUCGGAGAUAUAUGAACUGCGGCGCACGCCGUGGGAGUAUAUAGUCGGCGAUGAGGGUU
Molecule: ribosomal RNA, 1500 nt
Filed under: uncultured bacterium
Lineage: Bacteria
Description: bacterial SSU rRNA
Rfam family: Bacterial small subunit ribosomal RNA
Source: RNAcentral